GAUCAUGGCUCAGAGUGAACGCUGGCGGCGUGCCUAAUACAUGCAAGUCGAACGGAGAUUAAGUAGCUUGCUAUUUAAUCUUAGUGGCGCACGGGUGAGUAAUAUAUAGUUAAUCUGCCCCAUAGUGGAGGACAACAGUUAGAAAUGACUGCUAAUACUCCAUACUCCUUCUUAUCAUAAGUUAAGUCGGGAAAGUUUUCGUCUAUGGGAUGAGACUAUAUCGU
This 224-nucleotide ribosomal RNA is filed under the name uncultured bacterium. RNAcentral's name for it is "partial 16S ribosomal RNA". It matches the Rfam family "Bacterial small subunit ribosomal RNA", at positions 15 to 239 of the family's 1533-position model. The record is from RNAcentral.